CGUACCGUUCGGAUGUAGUUCCGGGUUAGCUUGGUUCCUGCCGUCUGCGUGUACCGCGUGCAAUAUCGCGUGUGAUUGUUUUUAUUUGUGACUAUUUGCUGGUGGCGUUGUUUCCGAUCAGCUCUGCACCCCGCGAUGAGCCUUGUUUAGUGUUUGCGUACUGCUGAUACGCGAUAAGAUGAUCUCUCGUUCCAUGUGGGCAUCCCGUGUCGAAAUGCUAGCCCGCUAGUGUUCCAUCGUGUUUGCGUGCUGCAUUGUGUGCAAGAAAGAAAAAAAACACAAAAAAUACCUGUGAAAACCGGCCGGCGAAAGAGGUCCGAUCGGAUGAUCGCGGGCUCCGAGACCAACCACAAUAACAAAAAAACACAAGCCAAUACGAGUCGACAGACGGAUUCGGUGGGCUUUGCAAGCAAAAUAAACAACAAGAUUAAGCGUUGAAGGCUUUUGAUUGUGAAACUCACGUUGGACGCAAACGUAAACUACGUAUUACCAACUUUCGUGUUCCAACCUUGGUCUUGUCGUUAAAACGACGCAUAUAAGCAUAUAACCUGUUACCGUCGUGUCACAUGUGAAACAUUUCCGUGCGUUCAGUAAGUGUUCCGAUUGACGGGUUUAUGCACAAAAGAAAAUUAAUUUCAAAUUUCUUCGUGAAGAAUUUGCAUUAAAGCUGCUGGAAAGUUACCACAAAGUUAGCAGUUACCAGAGAGUGAAGGUCUCUCGGGUGUCGUCUGUGGCAGC
This is a long non-coding RNA of Anopheles coustani, 738 nucleotides long. RefSeq lists it as uncharacterized. The transcript has 3 exons. Lineage: Eukaryota; Metazoa; Arthropoda; Insecta; Diptera; Culicidae. The record is from RefSeq and is a predicted model, not a curated record.